Molecule: ribosomal RNA, 470 nt
Filed under: Batrachuperus tibetanus (Tibetan mountain salamander)
Lineage: Eukaryota; Metazoa; Chordata; Amphibia; Caudata; Hynobiidae
Description: partial 16S ribosomal RNA
Rfam family: Bacterial large subunit ribosomal RNA
Source: RNAcentral
UUGUCUUUUAAAUAAAGACCAGUAUGAAUGGCAAGACGAAAGUUCAACUGUCUCCCUAAAUUAAUCAAUGAAAUUGAUCUUCCCGUGCAGAAGCUGGAAUAAAAUUAUAAGACGAGAAGACCCUAUGGAGCUUUAAAUAUAUGAUCAACUGUAUAAUAUAAAAUUCAAUAGAUUAAGCAUUAAAUAAAACAUUAUGAUCAAAAUUUUAGGUUGGGGCGACCACGGAGAAAAACAAAACCUCCGAGAUGAAAAGAGUAUCUUAAUUUAUGAACUACAGUUCUAAUAAAUAAAAUAUUUAACAUAAUUGAUCCAAUUUAUUGAUCAACGAACUAAGUUACCCUAGGGAUAACAGCGCAAUCCUUUCCAAGAGUCCCUAUCGACGAAUGGGUUUACGACCUCGAUGUUGGAUCAGGACACCCCAAUGGUGCAGCCGCUAUUAAAGGUUCGUUUGUUCAACGAUUAAAGUCCUA